CACGUAGUUAGCCGUGGCUUUCUGAUUAGGUACUGUCAAGAUGUGCACAGUUACUUACACAUUUGUUCUUCCCUAAUAACAGAGUUUUACGAGCCGAAACCCUUCAUCACUCACGCGGCGUUGCUCCGUCAGGCUUUCGCCCAUUGCGGAAGAUUCCCUACUGCUGCCUCCCGUAGGAGUCUGGACCGUGUCUCAGUUCCAGUGUGGCCGAUCACCCUCUCAGGUCGGCUACGUAUCGUCGCCUUGGUAAGCCGUUACCUUACCAACUAGCUAAUACGGCGCGGGUCCAUCUAUAAGUGAUAGCAAAACCAUCUUUCACUUUAGAACCAUGCGGUUCUAAAUGUUAUCCGGUAUUAGCUCCGGUUUCCCGAAGUUAUCCCAGUCUUAUAGGUAGGUUACCCACGUGUUACUCACCCGUCCGCCGCUAACUUCAAAGGAGCAAGCUCCUUAUCUGUUCGCUCGACUUGCAUGUAUUAGGCACGCCGCCAGCGUUCAUCCUGAGCCAGGAUCAAACUCU
Molecule: ribosomal RNA, 517 nt
Filed under: uncultured Staphylococcus sp.
Lineage: Bacteria; Bacillati; Bacillota; Bacilli; Caryophanales; Staphylococcaceae
Description: partial 16S ribosomal RNA
Source: RNAcentral